AGCCAGUCCUGCAGCUGCCCUGACUCCUGGGGCUGGCGGCUGAGGCCCAGAGCCUGGGCAGGAGGCCAGGGGCAGAAAGGGAGGCCGCAGCCGGGGCCGGUGGCCUGAGGAGUGCGGGCCGGAGGCCUUCCCUAGGAGGACUCCGCUGACAGGAAUGGGAGCCAUGACAGAGAAGAAAAUGGUCAAGAAAGGAAGCUUGCAUGAAACAUUUUCACUCGGCUGUGGAAAGAACAAAUGGAAUGAUUCACGCGGAGCACGGGGCUCAGUGCGCAGGAGUGGAUGUCUUCCUGAGAUUUGCCCGCCAUCUUGGUUGCAGGAUAGCUGCCCUACCCUCUUACAGCCCCAUUCAAGGCAAGAAUGAAGCUUUCCUUUGGAAUUUCACUUUUCAUCUGGAGGGGGAGGAGGAUCCUUCAUCUUUAGCCCACUUCCGUGAGUCCUUGGGUCUCCGAGGCCAUAACUGUGUCACUUAGGCAAAGGAGAAUGGGAUUAUGUUGACAGGUUUAAGGCUUAGUCUCCUGGGGCCUUGGAGAAGUCCACCUCCCUGGAGAACGGUGCUGAUAUCUGAACAAGGCUGUGUGAGCAAGGAAGAAGAGAUGGCCUCUUUUCAACCCUCCCCCUUCUUCCAACCCAUAGCUGACUUGGCAGUGUUGACCUGCAGUUCAGUAGAGUCAAGCACAUCUGGAUUCAUAUCCUAGAGCCAUUUCUUCCAAUCUGUGUUACUUCAUAUCAGUUAUUUUAUUGUUUGUCCUGGAGUUUCCUUAUCUGCGGAAUGGGAAUAGAACAGUUCUUACGUUGUUGGCUGUUGGGGUGCUGAAAUGAAACAAUGCAUGCGAAGUGCUUAACACAGUGCCUGGCACUUGGUAAAUGCUCAGCAAAAGCUAGCCAUUAAUAUUUUGGGGGGGACCACCCUCUCCUUAAAAUUCUCCGAUCUCAUGGGGUGCCUGGCUGGCUCAGUAGGUGGAA
Lynx canadensis (Canada lynx) is the source of this 963-nucleotide long non-coding RNA. RefSeq lists it as uncharacterized. The record is from RefSeq and is a predicted model, not a curated record. Lineage: Eukaryota; Metazoa; Chordata; Mammalia; Carnivora; Felidae. The transcript has 4 exons.